This is a long non-coding RNA of Nelumbo nucifera (sacred lotus), 1008 nucleotides long. RefSeq lists it as uncharacterized. Lineage: Eukaryota; Viridiplantae; Streptophyta; Magnoliopsida; Proteales; Nelumbonaceae. The record is from RefSeq and is a predicted model, not a curated record.
UGCUGAGCAUAAUUGAUGACGUUGUGGGUGUAGAGGCUGGUUUAGCAUCAGUCAUACUAGCACGUCUAAGAUGAUCAAAUAUAUACUUUCUUUGAGAGAGAAGCAAUGCCUUGGAAGUGUGAUGCACCUGGGCCAAGAAAGAAAUUAAGAGGCACCAAAUCUUUGACAGUAAAUGUCAAACUCAUUUUCUCUUUUCUUUCAUUCCUCCUCUUCCUCUUUUCUUUCUCUUCUUCGGUAACCUUAACGGGGUCUCAACUACUCAUCAUCUUCUUUAACAACGUUAUCAGAUGGGGGGACUGAAAUUUCGUUACAUCUAAAGUAUUAGCUAAUGAGGUUGAACGGAGAUUAGUUAGCGUUUGGGGGUUUAAGGACUUCGGUGGAGGAUUCCAAUACUGUGGAGAAGUCCUCUCGGCGGGUGAUUGAGAAGCAAACGAAAAACCCUUUCAAAUUCUUCUCUCCCGCGCAAACGAGAAGCAAACGAAACCCUUUCAAACUUCUUUCGUCUUCCCUCAAACCGCACAAGCAAAAACCCUUUCAAAUUCUUCUCUUUAUUGAUUUUAGGUUUCUAACCCUCUUCCCAUCCCUUAUUCACAAUUUCCUAAUUUCUUCGGCAGCUGAGAAGCAUUGAACUGUAUUAAGAGACCAUCAAACCUUCGACAGCUGAGAAGCACCGAACUGUGUUAAGAGCAAACCAUCAAACCUUCUCUUUGCCGAUUCUAGGUUUCCAUCCCUCUCUCUCUCAUCUCUUGUCACUCCUUCGGCAGCUGGGAGCCGAACUGAAUUCAUCUCCGGCAAGAAAUUAUUGGCAUCUGGAAGCCUUGGCUUUAAACACAAAUUUUCUAGUGUCAGGUUAAAAUUCGAAAAGAUAGUGAGGUUCGCUUAGAGAUAAUUGGGACAAGAGUAGACGCCAUAGACAUCUAAUCAAAAGGAAGAAUGAAUAUAAUGAGGGCUGAAUGUUGUAUUUUUUUUGUUCUUAAAAUGAUGAUGGAAGUCAAUUUGAAUUUUAUG